This 263-nucleotide long non-coding RNA is filed under the name Sorghum bicolor (sorghum). RNAcentral's name for it is "long non-coding RNA (SBIC_LNC011228)". The record is from RNAcentral. Lineage: Eukaryota; Viridiplantae; Streptophyta; Magnoliopsida; Poales; Poaceae.
CUCUCGACUUGCUGACCAUGGACCGCGAUGUGCCACUAACCACAGCAUGAUAACUCGGACCUGGAACCGGAGAGUCUGGGUGCAAACCGAUGCUUCUGCUGCGCAUUGCCACACGGGACCAAGACCAACCGGCCGACCAGGUGAGCAAGAACAACCAGGUAAAAUUUAUUACUUAUAAAAUUAGGACAAGAACUUUACCCAAAAUCACUCUACCAGUGCUUCAUCUAUAUUAUGAUAUAAAAUAAACCGAGAAUCAUGAGGGG